This 281-nucleotide ribosomal RNA is filed under the name uncultured bacterium. RNAcentral's name for it is "partial 16S ribosomal RNA". It matches the Rfam family "Bacterial small subunit ribosomal RNA", at positions 1092 to 1373 of the family's 1533-position model. The record is from RNAcentral.
ACGAGCGCACCCUUGUCUUUAUUGCUAACGGGUAAUGCUGAGCACUUUAGAGAGACUGCCGUCGUUAAGACGGAAGAAGGUGGGGACGACGUCAAGUCAUCAUGGCCCUUAUGUCCCGGGCUGCACACGUGCUACAAUGGUCGGUACAAAGGGAUGCUAACUCGCGAGAUGGUGCGAAACCUAUAAAGCCGAUCUCAGUUCAUAUUGGAGGCUGAAACUCCCCUCCAUGAAGUUGGAAUCGCUAGUAAUCGCGGAUCAGCUACGCCGCGGUGAAUAUGUUC